UCUGGAAAGGUUGGAAAGCAGAACAGUGUUUUUCCAUUUCCCAAGUUCAUCCAGUUUCAUUAAAGUAAUAUUCCCUGGCAACAAACUAUUCUAGUAUCUUGAGCUAUUUAUGAAAUGCUAAUCCAAUGGACCAGAAUGGAUGUGGCUUCAAUGGGCGAGCUACCAGCACAAGCUUGGAGAUCUUUUGCUUAUUCAAAUUGGUAUAAUGAGAUUUGACCAUAAUGAGACAGAUAUUCUCAAAGGCAAGAUGGAUAGUAGCGUCAAGUCAGAGGUGACACUGAUGACUUUGCCCAUAUGUCCUGCAUAUACACGAUGCCUCUUCUUCCAUGAAAAACACGGUGGAUAGAGGCUGAGGAGACAGUUUGAGAGGUAGAAUGUUUGCUGCACAAAGCAUAUGGACCUCUGUUUGGAUCUCCAGCACCGUAAAAUGACAGACAUGAAGUAUCCCUGUCUGCAAAAAGAAGCAAGAGGUCUCAUGCCCGGGGAUCUGAGGGACAUCUUGGAGUCACAUCUUGUAAUCAUAGCAUCCCAUUUAAAAUGCAAAAAUCAAACAGAACUUGGCAUUUGGAUCUACUUUAUAUGUUCUUGAUUUUGAAAUGUCCAGGCGUGGUGGUGGCCAGGUGUGCAAUCCUAAACUGGUGCGGCAGAAAUGGAUUGAUGGGUCCCUGGAGCUCACUGGCCAGCCAGUCCAGGCUAAUUGAAGAGCCUCAGGUGAAAGGCUGUUUCAGAAACCAAAGUGGAUGAAUCCUGAGGAACAACAUUCAAGGUUAACCUCUGGCCUCCGCUGCAGGCACACACAAGCACUUACACAUGCACAUGCGCUGACAUUAUACACACAUAUACACAUAUAUACACACACAUAUACACAACCUUCGUGCACACACGCCACACACACAUACAACAUGAUACUCCCUCAGUAAAAAAAAAAAAAAAAACU
This is a long non-coding RNA of Peromyscus eremicus (cactus mouse), 937 nucleotides long. RefSeq lists it as uncharacterized. NCBI's taxonomy places the organism in Eukaryota, Metazoa, Chordata, Mammalia, Rodentia, Cricetidae. The transcript has 4 exons. The record is from RefSeq and is a predicted model, not a curated record.